GAUGAACGCUGGCGGCGUGCCUAAUGCAUGCAAGUCGAGCGAACGGACGAGAAGCUUGCUUCUCUGAUGUUAGCGGCGGACGGGUGAGUAACACGUGGAUAACCUACCUAUAAGACUGGGAUAACUUCGGGAAACCGGAGCUAAUACCGGAUAAUAUUUUGAACCGCAUGGUUCAAAAGUGAAAGACGGUCUUGCUGUCACUUAUAGAUGGAUCCGCGCUGCAUUAGCUAGUUGGUAAGGUAACGGCUUACCAAGGCAACGAUGCAUAGCCGACCUGAGAGGGUGAUCGGCCACACUGGAACUGAGACACGGUCCAGACUCCUACGGGAGGCAGCAGUAGGGAAUCUUCCGCAAUGGGCGAAAGCCUGACGGAGCAACGCCGCGUGAGUGAUGAAGGUCUUCGGAUCGUAAAACUCUGUUAUUAGGGAAGAACAUAUGUGUAAGUAACUGUGCACAUCUUGACGGUACCUAAUCAGAAAGCCACGGCUAACUACGUGCCAACAGCCGCGGUAAUACGUAGGUGGCAAGCGUUAUCCGGAAUUAUUGGGCGUAAGCGCGCGUAGGCGGUUUUUUAAGUCUGAUGUGAAAGCCCACGGCUCAACCGUGGAGGGUCAUUGGAAACUGGAAAACUUGAGUGCAGAAGAGGAAAGUGGAAUUCCAUGUGUAGCGGUGAAAUGCGCAGAGAUAUGGAGGAACACCAGUGGCGAAGGCGACUUUCUGGUCUGUAACUGACGCUGAUGUGCGAAAGCGUGGGGAUCAAACAGGAUUAGAUACCCUGGUAGUCCACGCCGUAAACGAUGAGUGCUAAGUGUUAGGGGGUUUCCGCCCCUUAGUGCUGCAGCUAACGCAUUAAGCACUCCGCCUGGGGAGUACGACCGCAAGGUUGAAACUCAAAGGAAUUGACGGGGACCCGCACAAGCGGUGGAGCAUGUGGUUUAAUUCGAAGCAACGCGAAGAACCUUACCAAAUCUUGACAUCCUUUGACAACUCUAGAGAUAGAGCCUUCCCCUUCGGGGGACAAAGUGACAGGUGGUGCAUGGUUGUCGUCAGCUCGUGUCGUGAGAUGUUGGGUUAAGUCCCGCAACGAGCGCAACCCUUAAGCUUAGUUGCCAUCAUUAAGUUGGGCACUCUAAGUUGACUGCCGGUGACAAACCGGAGGAAGGUGGGGAUGACGUCAAAUCAUCAUGCCCCUUAUGAUUUGGGCUACACACGUGCUACAAUGGACAAUACAAAGGGCAGCGAAACCGCGAGGUCAAGCAAAUCCCAUAAAGUUGUUCUCAGUUCGGAUUGUAGUCUGCAACUCGACUACAUGAAGCUGGAAUCGCUAGUAAUCGUAGAUCAGCAUGCUACGGUGAAUACGUUCCCGGGUCU
RNAcentral lists this ribosomal RNA (1371 nucleotides) under uncultured bacterium. RNAcentral describes it as "bacterial SSU rRNA". It matches the Rfam family "Bacterial small subunit ribosomal RNA", at positions 28 to 1381 of the family's 1533-position model. The record is from RNAcentral.